GGAUGCGAUCAUACCAGCACUAAAGCACCGGAUACCAUCAGAACUCCGAAGUUAAGCGUGCUUGGGCGAGAGUAGUACUAGGAUGGGUGACCUCCUGGGAAGUCCUCGUGUUGCAUUCC
Molecule: ribosomal RNA, 119 nt
Filed under: Triticum aestivum (bread wheat)
Lineage: Eukaryota; Viridiplantae; Streptophyta; Magnoliopsida; Poales; Poaceae
Also listed under: 1 other name
Source: RNAcentral